Molecule: ribosomal RNA, 492 nt
Filed under: uncultured bacterium
Lineage: Bacteria
Description: partial 16S ribosomal RNA
Rfam family: Bacterial small subunit ribosomal RNA
Source: RNAcentral
AGUGAACGCUGGCGGUAGGCCUAACACAUGCAAGUCGAACGGCAGCACAGUAAGAGCUUGCUCUUACGGGUGGCGAGUGGCGGAAGGGUGAGGAAUACAUCGGAAUCUACUUUUUCGUGGGGGAUAACGUAGGGAAACUUACGCUAAUACCGCAUACGACCUACGGGUGAAAGCAGGGGAUCUUCGGACCUUGCGCGAUUGAAUGAGCCGAUGUCGGAUUAGCUAGUUGGCGGGGUAAAGGCCCACCAAGGCGACGAUCCGUAGCUGGUCUGAGAGGAUGAUCAGCCACACUGGAACUGGAACACGGUCCAGACUCCUACGGGAGGCAGCAGUGGGGAAUAUUGGACAAUGGGCGCAAGCCUGAUCCAGCCAUACCGCGUGGGUGAAGAAGGCCUUCGGGUUUUAAAGCCCUUUUGUUGGGAAAGAAAAGCAGCAGGUUAAUACCCCGCUGUUCUGACGGUACCCAAAGAAUAAGCACCGGCUAACUUCGUG